AUAUACUGGAAGGUCCUUUUUCUUAAACGUAAGGUCUAAGGAUGAGCCGGCGGCUGAUUAGGUAGUUGGUAGGGUAAUGGCCUACCAAGCCGAAGAUCAGUAGGGGCCUUGAGAGAGGUAGCCUCGAGAAGGGUACUGAGACACUGACCCUAGCCCUACGGGGUGCAGCAGGCGCGAAACCUUUACAAUGCACGAAAGUGUGAUAAGGGGAUUCCAAGUGCUCAUGUUUUACAUGGGCUUUUGUUCAGGGUAAAGACCUGGACGAAUAAGUGGUGGGAAAGACUGGUGCCAGCCGCCGCGGUAAUACCAGCGCCACAAGUGGGGAUCGUAUUUAUUUGGCCUAAAGCGUUCGUAGCCGAUUUGGUAAAUCUUUUGUGAAAUUGUUUUUUCUAAACUAACAGCUUGCAGGAGAGACUGCCAGGAUUGGGACCGGGAGGGGUUAGGAGUAUUCAUGGGGGAGCGGUAAAAUGUUAUAAUCCCAUGAGGACUACCUGUGGCGAAGGCGCCUAACCAGAACGGAUCCGACGGUGAGGAACGAAAGCUAGGGGAGCAAUCCGGAUUAGAUACCCGAGUAGUCCUGGCUGUAAACGCUGCGAGCUAGGUGUUGCAUAUUCUUCGAGAAUAUGCAGUGUCGAAGCGAAGGUGUUAAGCUCGCCGCCUGGGAAGUAUGGUCGCAAGACUGAAACUUAAAGGAAUUGGCGGGGGAGCACCACAAGGGGUGCGGCGUGCGGUUUAAUCUAACUCAACGCAGAAAAUCUCACCAGAGGCGACGGCAGGAUGAUGGUCAGCUUUAAGAGCUUGCUAGACGAGCCGAGAGGUAGUGCAUGGCCGCCGUCAGCUCGUGCCGUAAGGUGUCCUGUUAAGUCAGGCAACGAGCGAGACCUGCGCCUAUAAUUGCCAGCAGCUAACUUGUUAGGACUGGGCACAUUAUGGGGACUGCCUGUGAAAACAGGAGGAAGGUGCAGGCAACGGUAGGUCUGUAUGCUCCGAAUCCUUUGGGCUACACGCGCGCAACAAUGGUAUGGACAAUGGGCUACAACUCCGAAAGGAGAAGUCAAUCCUCGAAACCAUAUCUUAGUCCAGAUUGAGGGCUGUAACUCGCCCUCAUGACGAUGGAAUCCCUAGUAAUCGGGUUUCACUAUGGCCCGGUGAAUAUGUCCCUGCUCCUUGCACACACCGCCCGUCAAACCAACCGAGCAGGGUUUAGGUGAGGCCUAGUCGUUAUGAUUAGUUCGAAUCUAAGCUCAGUGAGGUGGGUUAAGUCGUCACAAGGUA
RNAcentral lists this ribosomal RNA (1275 nucleotides) under metagenome. RNAcentral describes it as "bacterial SSU rRNA". It matches the Rfam family "Archaeal small subunit ribosomal RNA", at positions 165 to 1445 of the family's 1478-position model. The record is from RNAcentral.